This 492-nucleotide ribosomal RNA is filed under the name uncultured bacterium. Its description in RNAcentral is "partial 16S ribosomal RNA". It matches the Rfam family "Bacterial small subunit ribosomal RNA", at positions 28 to 507 of the family's 1533-position model. The record is from RNAcentral.
GAUGAACGCUAGCUACAGGCUUAACACAUGCAAGUCGAGGGGAAACGGCAUUGAGUGCUUGCACUCUUUGGACGUCGACCGGCGCACGGGUGAGUAACGCGUAUCCAACCUUCCCAUUACUGUGGGAUAACCUGCCGAAAGGCAGACUAAUACCGCAUAGUCUUCGAUGACGGCAUCAGAUUUGAAGUAAAGAUUUAUCGGUAAUGGAUGGGGAUGCGUCUGAUUAGCUUGUUGGCGGGGUAACGGCCCACCAAGGCGACGAUCAGUAGGGGUUCUGAGAGGAAGGUCCCCCACAUUGGAACUGAGACACGGUCCAAACUCCUACGGGAGGCAGCAGUGAGGAAUAUUGAUCAAUGGACGGAAGUCUGAACCAGCCAAGUAGCGUGCAGGAUGACGGCCCUAUGGGUUGUAAACUGCUUUUGUAUGGGGAUAAAGUUAGGGACGUGUCCCUAUUUGCAGGUACCAUACGAAUAAGGACCGGCUAAGUCCGUG